CUCCGAGUGGCGUAGUCGGGUCAACGCGCGAGCCUGGGGGGCUCGAGAUCGCAGGUUCGAAUCCUGCUUCGGAGA
Molecule: transfer RNA, 75 nt
Filed under: Gemmataceae bacterium
Lineage: Bacteria; Pseudomonadati; Planctomycetota; Planctomycetia; Gemmatales; Gemmataceae
Description: tRNA-Pro
Rfam family: tRNA
About the family: Transfer RNA (tRNA) molecules are approximately 80 nucleotides in length. Their secondary structure includes four short double-helical elements and three loops (D, anti-codon, and T loops). Further hydrogen bonds mediate the characteristic L-shaped molecular structure. tRNAs have two regions of fundamental functional importance: the anti-codon, which is responsible for specific mRNA codon recognition, and the 3' end, to which the tRNAs corresponding amino acid is attached (by aminoacyl-tRNA synthetases). tRNAs cope with the degeneracy of the genetic code in two manners: having more than one tRNA (with a specific anti-codon) for a particular amino acid; and 'wobble' base-pairing, i.e. permitting non-standard base-pairing at the 3rd anti-codon position.
Source: RNAcentral